Long non-coding RNA from Leopardus geoffroyi (Geoffroy's cat), 4117 nucleotides. RefSeq lists it as uncharacterized. The record is from RefSeq and is a predicted model, not a curated record. Lineage: Eukaryota; Metazoa; Chordata; Mammalia; Carnivora; Felidae. The transcript is spliced from 2 exons.
GGCGGGCACCAACACGCUGACCCUUCUUGAGUUUUGUUUUCUCCAAUCAUGUGAGAAGCUGGGGGUCAGUGAAGGCUUCCUAAACUGUGACUUUGGACCACUUAGCACUAUGGGAGGUGAUUCUGGUGCCACACUAGUUUCAAAUGACACGGAACCACAGUCAGAUUCCUGACUCUUGUCCCGUCCUGGAAACACGGACAAGAAUGGCUCCAUUGGGUGCUACUUUCUCCUGAACACCUGCAACCUUUCCUUUUCAAACAACACUGAGCAGGCUUCAGCCUCAGCACAAACCCCCGUUUCUAGAAUGUAAUCACCCUGUUUUCUUUGAAUUGUAUUCAUUUGUGUCAUGACAUGUGAUCUUGAGCUUCCUUUCAACAACAAUCAAGCUCGUCAAAGACAAACAUUAAGUAAAAGACAGAUGGGAUGUUAAUGUGGUAAGAGUGAAGGGGAGACGUUGCGUAAGAUGACCCCUAAACUCUCUCCCGCUUCCAAAGUUCAUUGUUUCUGUGUUUCUUUGAGAACCUUGUUUUCAUGAAAUUCCUCUUGUCGACCUUUCUGGAUUCUUAAACUGCUUGGUGUGUUGGGGUGUUAGAGUCUUUCCCUUUCCCCUGGACUGGUGUGUGCCGAAUCGGGAGGAAAUAUGAUCAAUGGUUGUAGAAAGGUCGCCUGUCCGGGCCACUUUUCUGAAACGGGCUGUGGCAGGUUUCCUCAGCUCCUUUCUGUUCUGCCUUGAGAGGGAUUUUAACUCGGUGUUUAUCCCUGUCUGCGUCAGACCACAGGGAGGCGUUAGCAGAUUUGGUGCUGAGGCCAAAGAAGUUUUUAAAAGGGACAGAGGUGUCCCCAUCUCGUCUUCAUUUGAAGUCGUGUUUGCAUUCAAAGAUUCCGAGACAAAGAAGGGCGUUUUGAUAAGAAAAAGUGAUUGUGGUCUCAAGCCUUGAUGUGCUGUGGGAAGGAAAAGCGAUUUGCAAGACUAACCGACUGCGUUUAACUUAAUAGUUGAAGAGAAGAAAUAUAAAAGAAUGCAGUGGCUUUAACCAAGAAUGCUGUGACUCGAAGCAAUAUAAUCUAAGCAGGGUCUAUUUUAUGCAUAGCAACUCUGAGAUGCAGCAUGUUCUGGAAAUAGGUCAAACUGAGUAUUUUGUAUAAACACUGUCUCCCACUAGAGGGCGCUCUUUAGUUGUCUAUUUAACACUGUCUUCCUUUUUUGCAAAAAUAAUAAAAAAAUGACUAUAGGGCUAUGAAUUCUGAUACAAUUCUUGUUGAGCAUGUUAUGAAAUUUUCUCCCAGACAUUGUUUUAUUUUCAGCUUAUAUGUGUGAAAUUCCACUUUGAGAGGUAUAACAUGAUUCUGAGUCUUUCAAUAUGUAUAAAAAUCCCCACGGUAUUAUGGUACAAUAGAAGCAAAAGACAUAAGUUUAAAUUAUUGUAAUCCCAUAGGUCUUUUGACUAUUGUUUCUCUAUAUAUGUUACUGCACAAAGGAAAUUUAUUGUUAAUAUUAAUACCUUCUGCUUAGAUCUUUCGUGAAAAGACAAAGGGAGGCAGUGUGGCCUAGGUGGGGGAUUCUGCUGGCUUUUCCAGAGUGGUUUUUGUUAUCUGAAACAAUUUCCAGGACAUUCUUUUAAUUUGCUUUUUUAGGAUUUCAGUCCAUUUAGACUGUAUUGUCUUAGAUCCAUGAAAAUCACGGCCUACUUUUCUCUGAUUCCAUUCUUCCAGAUUCUUUGCCUUUCUUGUUAGAUUUGAGCUUCUCAUACCAUACUGUAUGAAAGGCUGGUGUUCUGGAAAUGAAUGAAUCGCCUAAUAAAACUCUGAUCUGGAAAAGGGUCACAGAAGUUUCUGCGAGGAUCCCCUGAGGCUCGUGAGAAUGUGGCCUCCAGGUGUGGAUUUCAUGAAAAAUGUCGGCCUCCAGUUCCUCGAGGAUGUGCCAACUCCACACCGAUUUAAUUUCUUAGAGGUAAGUGACAUUUGAGACCAUUCUUCUGAUAAGGCAAACUUCCCUUGAUUAAAGAAAAAGGGAGGGUUCAACUCUGUGAACAUUGGUUGAGUACCUAAUCUGUGUAAGCGACUGUACCAGUCAUGGCUUGAAAUAAAGUAAGUUAAAUAGAGUCUGUGCCCACAAGGACGGAUGGCAAUAGCAGGGCAGGAAAAGCAAGACACUAAUGAAAUCUAAUCCCACGUGAGACAAGUGAGGGACAGUGGAGCCAGCCAUUUUGUAUUGUGGGGGGAGGGGAAGAGAGAGAGAGAGAGAGAGAGAGAGAGCAUCCAGCUUGGAAGAGAAGCAAAGGCUGCUGAAGGAUGUGGCGUCCCUGAUGGGUCUUGCAAGAUGGGAGAUCUUCCACCAGUGACGAUGAAGGGAGCAAAAGGUAGGUGGGGUGGACGGAAGAGGGUGAACUAUUAUUUAAAAAUGAAAUGCAUACAGACUGGCUCAGUCAGUAGAGCACGUGACUCUUGACCUCAAGGUUGUGAGUUCAAGCCCCAAGUUUGGUGUAGACAUUGCUUAAACACAAAACCUUAAAAAAAAAAAAGAAAAAAAGAAAUGCAUACAUAUAGGAGAAAAACUUAAAAACACUUAAAAAAAAUCCCAUUAAUUUGACCUCCCAAAGGCAACCAGUGCUAUAAGUUUGACAUAUUUCUUUUGGGUAUUUUUUUUUCCAAUGCAUAUUUUGUAACGGAGGGUCCACUUGGUCCCUCUCGGGGAGUUUUUAGUAUGCUUGGCUCAACUGAUAAGAGCAGAUGUAAAAGCCCCUCCCUGCCACCCUUGAGAGCUAUCUGGGAGGGGCCCGACUGCCUGUUAAAAGGAGCUCUAGUUGCUAACACUAUAAAAUUACACACUCCUUCCUCAAAGCUCCGUUCUUGGGACACACGACCGGCUGGUCGCCGUUUCUGGGAGGCACCAUCCAGCGUAGCAAAGGCAAAGUCAAACAAGCUGAAGGUACCGAUCAAAACAUGUUCACAUCCUUCUAUACUUGUCAAGACAUCAAUCAACACCAUUAGGCGAUUUUUCUCCAUGGGGCUCUAUCACUGCAGCGCAGGAAAAGUAGCAAGGGAUGGUUGGAGGAGUUUCAGGUUAAGGAAGAUGUUUCUAUUCGUUCAUUAAGCAAACUUUUUUUUUUUUUUUUUUUUUUUUUUUUAAGCCCCAGAAAGAGAUCAUGUCUGUUUUAAGAUGUUUGUCUUCCAUCCUGGAGAAAGUUAUUCUUCUUAGAAGAAUGGGCCAAGUGUCUCCUUCUAAAUCUAGCAAGAAAGAAGCAGAAAGCAAGUUGAGGUUUUUCUUAUCAAAGACAGUUUGAAACUUCCGAUUCUGCGAUGUGUCUUAAGCGUAGUUUUUAAUGGGGUGUGGCCCGGACCAGCAGGGUUUUGACAGGCAGAAGAGAGAGAGCGUUCCAGAAAGAGGCAUCAGGGUAUGUGAAAAUGGGAUAACAGGUGUACUGGGGAAUGAGGAGGACUCAGUUGCCUGAUUCGGAUGGAACAGGUGAACGUUUCUGAAGAUCCGAAGGUACCUUUGGAACCCACAUGGAAUCCACUCUGGUGAGUAAAGUGGGACCUCCAUCCAGCUGCAGGGGCUUAAGGACAGUGUCCAGAGAGCACACAGCAACGCAGGUGGUAUAAGCUUCAGGGUCAGGAGGGGGACCCGGUUGGUCCCCCAGGACCAUUCUGCAGCGCUCCCAUGGGCAUUCUUUCUGGCCGAGCUGCCUCUGAGUCUGGUUCUCUGUCGCUUGUGAAGAUUCUCUGACCACAAAAUCUCCUUUAUCAAAUUCUUUUUUCUACCCAGAAUAGCCCGAGAUAGUUUCUGUCGCAAGGCCGAGUCCUGAUUGUAGGACGAGUACGUUUGAGGAAAGGUGGGAGGAGAGGCGGGGUGGGGUGUUUGUGAUGUCAUCUGACAUGGGACACGUGUCAAUCAGAGCACUGGCUGUGGUAAUAUAGUCUCAUUUCUCAGACAAUUCGUAAAAGAAUAUAUUAAGCAUCUGAAAAAUGAUGUAGCUUGAGUAAUAACAAAAUUGCAAAUAAAAUCAGCGUGAUGGAAGAGAGUAAAAAGGAAAUGCUCCGUGCUGAUAAAGAUGUGAGGACGUGGACAUUUGUCAUUCCGUGACAUAGACUUUCUAGAAUAAAAUCUGGCAUUAAG